UCUUCCCCUAUAAUCUUCUUCGUAUCUAAUCGCAUACAUUCGUAGAUAUAUAAAAACACAUACACACACACACACACACACACACACGUACGUGCGAUCGAGCGAUCCUUGCGGCGACCCUAGUCUCCGCCGAAGGCGACGGCGAACAGCUUGCAUAACUUUCUUUCUUCUCGAUACCGAUAAUUAUUUAAUACCUUAUCCGACUGAACAGCAGCAGCGCCGCUCGCAAAGCAAAAUACACGCGCGUUCGCGUGCCUAUGUUUCUCCGGCCGUGAUAAAACUCAUUUGCAUAAUAAAACGUAGACUCUCGGCGCGGCGAACUUGCAAACUGUAUCGUCCCGCGAAUCGCUGUCGGUGCGUAUACAAACGGGCACGCGUGUGUGUGUAUCCGCGUGUGUAUAAUCUGUUCUAUACACGCACAGAGAAUAUACACCACCAAGCCACGAAUCUCCGAGCGUUUUUCGCGCGUCUCAGCAAAUCUUUAUCUCUCUAACGCGUUGUUCUCUUUCUCUGUUCCUACCUGCAGCACGUAACGCGUAGAAUAUACAGAUAAAACACUCACAUACACAUAUACAUACACACACGCACACGCAGGCACGCACGAAGUACAGAGACAGGUGCGUGUAAGCACAGAGAGUAAAGAAGAGAGAGGACGUAUAUGCUCGCCACUUGGCGUCUCUCUUUUAUGUGCGUGUCCGUAUCGACUGGUGACCCCGUUAGUCAGCAUAGUCAGUCACUUUGCUUGCUCGCUCGCUCACCGGUUAGAACUUAGCCAGGCCUCGUUCGUUCGCUCGCUCACUCUUCCUUUCAGUUUGCAAGCGAAAGUAAAGGCCUAAUAAAAAGCCCGCAAACUGGUUUUUCUGGUAUAUCGCGCGUUAAUGCUAAGGAGAGCCAGGCAGGCCGACUAGCAGCGACGUUCUGCACCCGGUGCGCGCCUCUAGCCGCCUGUUCCUUCUGUUUCCAUCGCGACCAUUUGUUUCCAACCACCUAUCGACGAUCCCUAUCCCUCUAUUUCCUUCGUUACGGCUAAUUUCUCAUCACCUAUCGACGAUCCUCGUCUCCCUGUUUCCUUCGCUGUCACUAGUUUUCGAUCAUCAAUCGACGUGGCGUUGCUCCUCCUAAUAAUCAUUUUCAUUGUUGUUCUUACUAUUAUCCUCGUCUCUGUGAUCUACGGUAGCAAUAGCCGGCCGUUACAUCGAAGCUUUCGUUCCUUCUUCGUAGCUUCCAUCGUCGAAUACACUGCGGAUGUUCCAGUGGAAAAUGGAGAAGAUUCGCGAACGUUAAUUACAUUCUCGAUUUGCAACGAAGGGUUUAAGAUAUUUGUUGUCGUGUUGUCGAAGAUGUUAUUAGUUUCGAUGGUUUUGCAUGAUUGCGUGGUUGUUCGUAAUCGGUAGAUGACGGACGUUUGUGCAAAUUUAGGUUUUAUUUAAUUCGUUAAGGAAAUGAAAUCUAAGCAGACAUUUCUGUCGCACACUAAUUAUCAUAAAUUGUAUGUUUCGAACAUUCUUAUUCAUUAUAUAUAUGUAGAGUACAUAUUCGGCACAUUUAAAUUUUCCAAUAAACAGCAUAAACAUCCCGUCUAUUAAUUAGAAUUGACAGUUUUGUGUUUCUUUUUAGGAUUACAUGGUAAUUUUGUUAAAUGUGAAAUAUUAGAAUGACUUGAGUCGGCACUCUACCGAUUUUGGAUCGAUAUUUAUAUAAUGUAUCGUAUGAAGCGUAGAAAGAAAAGACUUCUUUUUUUCUACCACAACAAGUUUGAAAUUUUAGAUCGAUAUGUAUCCAGAAUGUGUUUAGAUAGAUCUUAAGAAGCCUCGAAUUUGGAACUCGAGAUAAAUUGUAACUUGCGGAAGUUUGACUUGCGAGUUCAAUGGCUGAUAUAAUUAGAGUGCUCCAGACUAUCUUCGACUAUUUCGAAAUAGACACGAGGGACGAGCAACACGCGUUUUACCACUUACGAUUAGCAUCGUGUACGAAUCAUUUAGUUCUCAUUCCUUCGUGGGAUCCUCGGUGAUGCCAGAUAUUCUCCCUCGACUUCUUUUGUACCAGGCGAUUUAGCCACCUUAAGUACGACUUAAUAACGUGCGAAUUAAUCAAACGAUACACACGCACGAUCUUCUCAGAUACAUUGUUUAAAACGAAUAAAAGAAUUAAAGAAAAAAAGAUUUAAAAAAAAGCGUAAAAGAAGAUGAGAGUACAGGUGAACCGUUUUUUCUCGGAUGUUUACACGAUGUGCGAGGACGAACACAUAUAAGCGGAAGGGACGAAACGAAGGGAAGCAUUUCUCGAUCUGGCAUCACUCGACGAGGAGAAGAUACGUAGAUCGAGGAAACGCGACGGCACUUGUGUCCGUUUCCGCUCGCUGCUCCACUGUGAACAUCACCGUUCUGUCGCUCCUUCGAACGUUGCUUUGUUUAAGCAACGACGACUUUGUGGUGAAAAGAAAAAAUCGUAUAAAAAGAGAUGGGACGGAAUUGAAUUGAAAAAUUACGGGAAAAAAGGGGAAUAAGUUUAAACGAUAAAUCGCGUGAAAAGGUGGGAAAGAUUUACGAAUUUGAAUGAAAAAUUGCGUAAGAAGGGUGAUAAUCGCAUUUUUAUUGAUAAAUCGCGUGGAAAUGGAGAAGAUCGAGUUACUCGUGAAAAAUUGAAUGGAAAGGGGAGGAAUAUAAUUACUCGAGUGAAAAAUCGCGUGGAAAGGCAGAAGAUGGAAUUUAAUCUGUCCGCUUGAUGAUAGUAGAAAAAAGUGAUUUUCUUUCUAUGUAAUGUUUCCAUAAAAAAUGCCACGUUUCUUGUCUAUCGUUAGCAAAGAUAUAAAUGAACAUUCGCGUUAUAUGUUCAGAGAAAUGGAUUUUUCUUUUUGUUUUUAAGAGAACAUUUUAUUAGUUUCGUGGAUUCUUGCGUGGAACGUGCCGUUCUAGAUUUAAGAUCGAUGUUCGAUUCGACCCAUUGGAAGCCUGUUUUAACUCUACUACGCUCUUCAAGACGUUUUCGAUUCGAUUCGUAUUUCUCGGUCGUUGGAAAAAUUGAUUAAGUUUAAAGAAAAUAUGAGAGAAUCGUUAUUAAAAUUCUCGUUUCAAUUUUAUGCGAAAUAUUAAGGGUCUUUUUAUUUACUGAAACGAGAAUAGAAAAAUUCGAAGAUCGUGGUUGAGUUAGCCGUUAGUUUUCGAUGUCAAGCAACGACGUUUUCCUCUUUCUUUAUUUUUCAAGUAAUGAAAUCGGCGAUACUGAUGACGAACGUUUCUAUAUGAAACGCGUCGUAUUAUUUUUUUAAUCUAGCAACGCCUCGUUGUUUCGUAUAUUUUUUCAGAGAAUGAACAUUUUUACGAUCGAAGAGAAGAUUCGAUCAAAUAGUUUUAUGUUGUUUCGAUUCUAAGCGCAAUUCCAAUGGGUUGGUCGUUUUAAAAUUGAAUUUCUUUACGUAUAAAGCUUGUGUAUUUUAUUAUAUCGACAAACGUGGAGUUUCGUUUGAAAAAGACGAAACCCAAUUUGAUUGUCACAAUGUGAAAAAUAGAAAAGCCAAAAGAAACAAAGAUUAUAUAUAACAAGAAGAAGAAAAAAGAAAGAAGCGAAAAAAGGGAGGUUGAGCAAUCAUGGUAUUCAGCCAACAUAGUGUAGUAAUAUAUAUAAGUAUAAAUCGGUUAAUAAUUAAGUAAAGUGAAAUCAAGAAAAUGAAGUAUCAAAAUUAGUAUGUAAAACAGAAGAAUAUAAGAAGGAAGCGUAAAAAUAAAUUACAGAUUGUAUAAAAUACUCGAAUCAACGAUGAAUGACUCGAAAUGGGAGAAUUUACAAUUUGAAGCUCAAGCAGAUGUAUAGUAUAAAUGUUCGACCUCUCGCGAUUCAUUUCCGCUUUUACGUAACGGGGAUUCGAUUUACUAUAAUUCUGUGCAUAAUCGAAUAAUAUCUUUGGUUGUAAGUGCGUCCGUCGUAAUCUGGAACAGAGAUCCUUUUUAACAUACUUGAACAAGGGGAAUCACAAUAUAGUUUGCACUCAAUUGCGAUAAUCGAACUCUUUUCUCAUAAAUGUUUCUUUGUUUCCUACGAAAAUACGAUCGUACAAAGAUGCAUAUUUUUCAGUAAUUUCCAACCAGACUUUGAGCCUAACGAUCGCCUACUCAAACCUUUUUUCCCCCAAAAUUAUUAUACAAUUUCGUAGAUUUGAAGAAAAUUUAUGCCAAUUUCUUUUUAUGAUUCCCAAUUUGGUUUGCAAGGGAUUUAAAAAAUAUUAAUAAAAAUAAUAAUUAAUAUUAUAGUUAAUAUAUCAAUUCUUUUCUAAGACUAAGAUAUCUGUUCAGAUUACGAAGAGUGCGCGUGAAAAGAAGAAAAGAAGAAACCACAAGCUUAUCGCGAAGAAAGCAAGAUUUUCGAUUAGAGUCUGAAAUAACCGGAAGUGCUCUUCAUCUUCGUCGGCGGACCGAGAUUUUCGACAGACUUCCGGUUACAGACGACGAAAUUGUUUGCGAUUCGCUUUUUUUUUUUUACUCUCCUCUUCGAUAGAAUCCGUUUUCCCUUCGAAAGAUGUGAUCGUUCCCCUGGAAACGACCCGAUCGAGCUGUACUUGUCUGUUUUUCGAACGCGUGUAUCGAAGAAGAAGAAGAAAAGAAAGAAAACGGAUGAAAAAGGGAGGGUAGUAUAAAAGAUUAGACGAUAGAGAUAGGCAAAGGAAAAUGUGAGACAACGACACACGCACAUAAGGCGUAUGGAAAUAAAUAGACUCGAUGAUGAUUGCUAUUGUUAAUCGAUCAUCGACGAUUAACUUGUAAGAGGAUAUUGCGGCGAUAAAUAGCGAAGUUUAAUAUUACCCGUUUGUAUACUAAGGAGAAAAUUUACAAAAAAAAAAAAAGGCGAAGUAAAUGUGGAAAAAUAAUAAACGACAAGAAUGUAAGAGAUGGAGAAAUAUUAUAUAUAUAUAUAUACGUAUAAUAUUUAAUUUGUAAUAGGGAAUACAUAAAUAUUAUAUGUGCAUAUAUGCGAUGUAAGUAAUAUAGAACGUAUGUGAGAGAGAAAGAGAGAGCUAUUUUGUAGGAUGAGUUCGAAGAGUGCGUAAGUGGGCGGCGAUUUACUUCUUUUUUUAUUUCUCUGACUUGCCCAUGAAUAUAUAUUCCCAUAUGUAAGAAAUGUUAUAAGGAUUACCUAUAAAACAUGAAAAUAAAUAUCAUGUAAACACCGAGAA
Molecule: long non-coding RNA, 5167 nt
Organism: Bombus impatiens (common eastern bumble bee)
Lineage: Eukaryota; Metazoa; Arthropoda; Insecta; Hymenoptera; Apidae
Exons: 3
Source: RefSeq, a predicted model, not a curated record